GAGCAAGUGCGUCUGAUGUAAAAUGGCGAAAUCUCUUGCAUUGAAGGUUGGCGAAAUCAUGUUGCGAUUCUCCGUGCCUUUCAAAUUUCCUAUCUUUUUGAUUACGGCCUCGAACAAGUCGCUACAUU
Molecule: small nucleolar RNA, 128 nt
Filed under: Ipomoea nil (Japanese morning glory)
Lineage: Eukaryota; Viridiplantae; Streptophyta; Magnoliopsida; Solanales; Convolvulaceae
Source: RNAcentral